UGGGGAAUAUUGCACAAUGGGCGAAAGCCUGAUGCAGCGACGCCGCGUGAGGGAUGACGGCCUUCGGGUUGUAAACCUCUUUCAGCAGGGACGAAGCGCAAGUGACGGUACCUGCAGAAGAAGCACCGGCUAACUACGUGCCAGCAGCCGCGGUAAUACGUAGGGUGCAAGCGUUGUCCGGAAUUACUGGGCGUAAAGAGUUCGUAGGCGGUUUGUCGCGUCGUUUGUGAAAACCAGCAGCUCAACUGCUGGCUUGCAGGCGAUACGGGGAAACUUGAGUACUGCAUGGGAGACUGGAAUUCCUGGGGUAGCGGUGAAAUGCGCAGAUAUCAGGAGGAACACCGGUGGCGAAGGCGGGUCUCUGGGCAGUAACUGACGCUGAGGAACGAAAGCGUGGGUAGCGAACAGG
Molecule: ribosomal RNA, 409 nt
Filed under: bacterium
Lineage: Bacteria
Description: partial 16S ribosomal RNA
Rfam family: Bacterial small subunit ribosomal RNA
Source: RNAcentral